AAUAGAUACCCGGGUAGUCCACGCCGUAAACGAUGAAUACUAGGUGUAGGGGUUGUCAUGACCUCUGUGCCGCCGCAAACGCAUUAAGUAUUCCGCCUGGGGAGUACGGUCGCAAGAUUAAAACUCAAAGGAAUUGACGGGGGCCCGCACAAGCAGCGGAGCAUGUGGUUUAAUUCGAAGCAACGCGAAGAACCUUACCUAGACUUGACAUCUCCUGAAUUACUCUUAAUCGAGGAAGUCCCUUCGGGGACAGGAAGACAGGUGGUGCAUGGUUGUCGUCAGCUCGUGUCGUGAGAUGUUGGGUUAAGUCCCGCAACGAGCGCAACCCUUAUUGUUAGUUGCUACCAUUAAGUUGAGCACUCUAGCAAGACUGCCCGGGUUAACCGGGAGGAAGGUGGGGAUGACGUCAAAUCAUCAUGCCCCUUAUGUCUAGGGCUACACACGUGCUACAAUGGCAAGUACAAAAGAUGCAAUACCGCAAGGUGGAGCUAAACUUAAAACUUGUCUCAGUUCGGAUUGUAGGCUGAAACUCGCCUACA
RNAcentral lists this ribosomal RNA (539 nucleotides) under uncultured bacterium. RNAcentral's name for it is "bacterial SSU rRNA". It matches the Rfam family "Bacterial small subunit ribosomal RNA", at positions 777 to 1320 of the family's 1533-position model. The record is from RNAcentral.